GGGGAUGUAGCUCAGUGAUAGAGCACUUGCCUAGCAUGUAUAAGUCCCUGGGUUCCAUCCCCA
RNAcentral lists this transfer RNA (63 nucleotides) under Heterocephalus glaber (naked mole-rat). It matches the Rfam family "tRNA", at positions 1 to 62 of the family's 71-position model. From Rfam's summary of the family: Transfer RNA (tRNA) molecules are approximately 80 nucleotides in length. Lineage: Eukaryota; Metazoa; Chordata; Mammalia; Rodentia; Bathyergidae. The record is from Rfam by way of RNAcentral.